UAAAGAUAAUAAGGGCGUACGGUGGAUGCCUUGGCGAUAUCAGCCGAAGAAGGACGCGGUAAGCUGCGAUAAGCUACGGAGAGGUGCAAGCAACCUGUGACCCGUAGAUUUCCGAAUGGGGGAACCCGGCAGUGGUUAUGCACUGUCACCCAUAGCUUAGACUAUGAGGAGGGCACCUGGGGAACUGAAACAUCUAAUUACCCAGAGGAACAGUAAUCAAACGAGAUUUUCUUAGUAGCGGCGAGCGAACGGGAAAGAGGCCAAACCGGAGCGGGCAACCGCACCGGGGUUGAGGACAGUCAUCAAGUGUAAAUGAGGUAGAAGAAUCGAGCUGGAAAGCUCAGCCGCAGAAGGUGAAAGCCCUGUAAUCGAAACCUUGCAUACACGGGACUGUAUCCAGAGUACCACGAGACACGUGAAACCUUGUGGGAAGCAGGGGGGACCACCCUCCAAGCCAAAAUACUGAUAUCGACCGAUAGCGCAUAGUACCGUGAGGGAAAGGUGAAAAGAACCCCUGGCGGGGAGUGAAAGAGAACCUGAAACCGUAUGUCUACAAACAGUCGAAGUCUGUAUAUAUAUCAGGACGACGGCGUGCCUAUUGAAGAAUGAACCGACGAGUUACUGUUGCUAGCGAGGUUAAGUGGAAAACAUGGAGCCGCAGCGAAAGCGAGUCUGAACAGGGCGUUCAGUUAGUAAUAGUAGACCCGAAACCGUAGUGAUCUAUCCAUGGCCAGGUUGAAGCACAGGUAAAAUUGUGUGGAGGACCGAACUCGUGAGCGUUGAAAAGCUUUGGGAUGAGUUGUGGAUAGGGGUGAAAUGCCAAUCGAACACGGAGAUAGCUGGUUCUCCCCGAAAUAGCUUUAGGGCUAGCCUCGAGGUAGAGAGUAUAGGCGGUAGAGCACUGAUCGGGCUAGGGGCCAUACCGGUUACCGAACCUAGUCAAACUACGAAUGGCUAUACUUAUACUCGGGAGUCAGACAGUGAAUGAUAAGGUCCAUUGUCAAGAGGGAAACAGCCCAGAACACCGACUAAGGUCCCCAAUGUUACACUAAGUGGCGAAGGAUGUGGAAUUUCCAAAACAACCAGGAUGUUGGCUUAGAAGCAGCCACCAUUUAAAGAGUGCGUAAUAGCUCACUGGUCGAGAGACUCUGCGCCGAAAAUGUCCGGGGCUAAAGUGUAAAACCGAAGUCGUGUCAUAUGCAGCAAUGUAUAUGGGUAGGGGAGCGUUCUCAUCGGGCUGAAGCAGUACCGUAAGGAGUUGUGGACUGAUGAGAAGUGAGAAUGUCGGUAUGAGUAGCGAAAAGAAUGGUGAGAAUCCAUUCCACCGAAAGCCUAAGGGUUCCUGAGCAACGAUCGUCGUCUCAGGGUAAGUCGGGACCUAAGCCGAGGCGGAAUAGCGUAGGCGAUGGACAACAGGUUGAAAUUCCUGUACCGGUGUGAAUCGUUUGAUCGAUGGAGUGACACAGUAAGGUAGGUCAGCACGCGAUUGGAAGAGCGUGUUUAAGCAGGUAGGUUGAGCUAUAGGCAAAUCCGUAGCUCUAAAAGCUGAGAUGUGAUGACGAGCGACUAGCAAUAGUCGCGAAGUGAUUGAUCCUACACUGUCGAGAAAAGCUUCUAGGUAGAGACACAUCGCCCGUACCAAAACCGACACAGGUAGGCGGGGAGAGAAUCCUAAGGUGCGCGGGAAAACCCUCGUUAAGGAACUCGGCAAAAUGCCUCCGUAACUUCGGGAAAAGGAGGACUCAUGUAGUGUGAAGAGCAGAAGCGCUUGGAGCAUGAAUGAGUGGCACAAGAGAGGCGCAAGCGACUGUUUACCACAAACACAGGUGCCUGCUAAAGCGAAAGCUGAUGUAUAGGUGCUGACACCUGCCCGGUGCUGGAAGGUUAAGAGGAGGGGUUAGACUUCGGUCGAAGCUCUGAAUUGAAGCCCCAGUAAACGGCGGCCGUAACUAUAACGGUCCUAAGGUAGCGAAAUUCCUUGUCGGGU
RNAcentral lists this ribosomal RNA (1987 nucleotides) under human gut metagenome. Its description in RNAcentral is "bacterial LSU rRNA". It matches the Rfam family "Bacterial large subunit ribosomal RNA", at positions 1 to 1977 of the family's 2925-position model. The record is from RNAcentral.